Molecule: long non-coding RNA, 432 nt
Filed under: Fragaria vesca (wild strawberry)
Lineage: Eukaryota; Viridiplantae; Streptophyta; Magnoliopsida; Rosales; Rosaceae
Description: long non-coding RNA (FVES_LNC000240)
Source: RNAcentral
UCGUCAAGCUUCUGCAUUGUGACUGGACAUGUCAGAUUACCAGCGGCAAGCCAUUUUUGAAUGCUCGACCUGUCAUAGGUUAGGCCUGUGCAUAGAGUCACAGGAUCUUUGAACAGCUCCAGACUAAUUGGGCAUAUAAACAGCUCAGGUAUGUUCAUCAUUUCAAAUCAAACCUACUAAUACAGGAAAAUAAGAACAACAGGGUAUUAUUUACCCACAAAUAACAACAGGGUAUGCUCAAAAUGUCGUCUUAAUUUGACAGGGCUUAGAGAUUGAAAUGCAGAAAGCUGUAAUGGGGAAAGAGUGAAGAGCUCAGUCUGAUAAAGAACACAGCGAACAGAGAGACAAGCAGGGAGCUGAGACUAGUGCAGUAUUAGUUGGAGGAAUCAGAUGAAAACACCAAGAAACAAACAGAAGAGGAAAGGAUCAGUU